RNAcentral lists this ribosomal RNA (503 nucleotides) under uncultured bacterium. RNAcentral's name for it is "partial 16S ribosomal RNA". It matches the Rfam family "Bacterial small subunit ribosomal RNA", at positions 30 to 523 of the family's 1533-position model. The record is from RNAcentral.
AUUGAACGCUGGCGGCAGGCUUAACACAUGCAAGUCGAGCGGAGUGAUGGUGCUUGCACUAUCACUUAGCGGCGGACGGGUGAGUAAUGCUUAGGGAUCCGCCUAUUAGUGGGGGACAACAUCUCGAAAGGGAUGCUAAUACCGCAUACGUCCUACGGGAGAAAGCAGGGGAUCACUUGUGACCUUGCGCUAAUAGAUGAGCCUAAGUCGGAUUAGCUAGUUGGUGGGGUAAAGGCCUACCAAGGCGACGAUCUGUAGCGGGUCUGAGAGGAUGCUCCGCCACACUGGGACUGAGGAACGGCCCAGACUCCUACGGGAGGCAGCAGUGGGGAAUAUUGGACAAUGGGGGGAACCCUGAUCCAGCCAUGCCGCGUGUGUGAAGAAGGCCUUAUGGUUGUAAAGCACUUUAAGCGAGGAGGAGGCUCUUUUGGUUAAUACCCAAGAUGAGUGGACGUUACUCGCAGAAUAAGCACCGGCUAACUCUGUGCCAGCAGCCGCCGUAA